GAAAUCCGGAUUAAUACCCCAUAGUAUUUAAGCACGGCAUCGUGCUUUCAUUAAAGCUCCGGCGGUUAAGGAUGGGCAUGCGUGACAUUAGUUUGUUGGUGAGGUAACAGCUCACCAAGACUACGAUGUCUAUGGGGUCUGAGAGGAUGAUCCCACACACUGGUACUGAGACACGGACCAGACUCCUACGGGAGGCAGCAGUGAGGAAUAUUGGUCAAUGGACGAAAGUCUGAACCAGCCAUGCCGCGUGCAGGAUGACGGCCCUAUGGGUUGUAAACUGNUUUUAUACAGGAAGAAAUCCCUCUACGUGUAGAGGGUUGACUGUACUGUACGAAUAAGCAUCGGCUAACUCCGUGCCAGCAGCCGCGGUAAUACGGAGGAUGCAAGCGUUAUCCGGAUUCAUUGGGUUUAAAGGGUGCGUAGGCGGGGUAAUAAGUCAGUGGUGAAAUCCUGCGGCUCAACCGUAGAACUGCCAUUGAUACUGUUACCCUUGAGUAUAGUUGAAGUGGGCGGAAUAUGUAAUGUAGCGGUGAAAUGCAUAGAU
This 544-nucleotide ribosomal RNA is filed under the name uncultured bacterium. RNAcentral's name for it is "bacterial SSU rRNA". It matches the Rfam family "Bacterial small subunit ribosomal RNA", at positions 153 to 695 of the family's 1533-position model. The record is from RNAcentral.